AUGAUCAAUAGGGGCAAGCAGAGCUCAAUACUAUUACUUUGGAGAUGCCAUAACUUUCGAUACAACAUACCAUACAAACCUGUACGACAUGCCAUUUGGACUAUUUGUAGGUGUCAACAAUCACUUCCAAAUUGUAAUAUUUGGUGGUGUGUUAGUAAGGGACGAGAGAGCGGAAGCAUUUACUUGGGUGUUUACAGAAUUUGUCCGCAUGAUGGGUGGCAAACAUCUUCAGACCUUGCUCACAGAUCAAUGUCGGGCAUGGAAGUAGUAAUAGAGAAGUUCAUGCCAAACACAACGCACCGCUGGUGCAAGUGGCACGUCUUGAAGAAGGCAAAGGAAUCUCUUGGACCAUAUUACAUAAAGAGGAGCAAGUUUAACAUACAGUUUCACAAGAUAAUACACCACAUGCUGACAGUUGAUGAGUUUGAGACUGCAUGGAAGCAACUCAUAGAAACAGAUGGUUUGAGAAAACACACUUACCUGACCCAAAUAUAUGAAAAAAGAGAGAAAUGGGCAAAACCAUAUUUGAAUGGGAAGUUCUAUGCCAAAAUGACAAGUACAUAG
RNAcentral lists this ribosomal RNA (564 nucleotides) under Triticum aestivum (bread wheat). Its description in RNAcentral is "partial small subunit ribosomal RNA". Lineage: Eukaryota; Viridiplantae; Streptophyta; Magnoliopsida; Poales; Poaceae. The record is from RNAcentral.